Molecule: non-coding RNA, 1034 nt
Organism: Schizosaccharomyces pombe (fission yeast)
Lineage: Eukaryota; Fungi; Ascomycota; Schizosaccharomycetes; Schizosaccharomycetales; Schizosaccharomycetaceae
Source: the annotation of a GenBank genome assembly
GUUUGUUGACAAACCUCCUUAAAACAAUUGUGAACCCAUCCAUGAUUAACUUACCUUGUUCAUGGUAAACAUAUGCAAAGUGUCGACUUCGAAAACGCUUUUCAAUUUGUCAUCACAAAGAAUUGUUCGCUUGUCGUUGGGAUCUUGUAAGUCAUGUGCUUUUAUAUACUCCCAUAACUUCUUCACAGUUUGGGGACGAGAUAACUACGUUAGUUAGCAAUCAGCAGAGAAAGCGUGCAAAUAAACAUUUAGUAUGUAAGCCUGCCUCUUUUUUCAAAACAACAAGAUUUUGAAUGGAACGAGUAGGCACGGCUUCCACACUACAACACCGCCUUACCUGUUCAAGACCCAAAAAUUCGGCCAACUUAGGGGACAACUUCAUAGGCUUAUUCAGAGGAUUGUUGGCAGGAUCUUGGUUCCUCUUGCGUUUUCCACCCUCUUCUCCAUCUUCCUUGCGUUUUCGGGUUCUCUUUGCUGGUUUCUUGCCUUCUUCAGUGCCAUUUUCCGUCGCUCUCUUACCCUUGGUUUUGCGAGCGGGUGCUUGUUUUUCUACAAGUUUGGUUAAUUAUUAUUUCUUGCAUUAUUAUUUGCAAAUUUCUUCCAGCAAUAUUCUCAUCUUACCUAAACUCUCCUUCUCUGAAGGUGCGGCGGUUUCAUCAAAGCAUUUCAAAAUCAGCGCAUUCAAGUCUUUUUUAUGCGCACUCAAAUCUACCUUUCUUCUUUCUUCUAAAAGUUGACGAACUUGCUUCGCAGAUACAGUUUGGCGAUCAACUGUACCGAGAAUUUGCUUAAUGUCUGUUUCGUACUCUUCCAUCGUUCUAGUUCUUUAUACUACCACCUUACUGUGUUGGUCAAAGUAUGGUGUAGUGAGACGGUGGUAGUGGAUAUAGAUUACGGUAAAGAAGGAAAGAGCGCUGGUGUAGCUAAAUGCGAUUUUGAAAAACACGCUAUUUUUACAGAUGUAAAUACAUAAAGCUUCAAUUUAAUUUCUUGUAAAACUAAAAAUAAUGGAAAUUAUAUAUGUUAUUUUGUGC